Long non-coding RNA from Diachasmimorpha longicaudata, 3398 nucleotides. RefSeq lists it as uncharacterized. The record is from RefSeq and is a predicted model, not a curated record. Lineage: Eukaryota; Metazoa; Arthropoda; Insecta; Hymenoptera; Braconidae. The transcript has 5 exons.
CUAGGUCACCUAUAGUGGACGGAAUAGUGAUAAUCUAUAAAUCAAUUGUUUGUCGCUGUCUUAAACCAAGUAUGAAUAAUCAAAUAAUCAUUGACGCUGGAACGAGGCAAAAUCAGCCUGUCCUGACCCAAGCUCUACCUUCUGGGUGGUUAUAGCCUCAACUGGACGUAUCGUGUGAAUAAUAGAGCUCUGUAAUAUCGAACAAGAGAAGACGGAAAAAAAGGAAUAAGUUCUUAUUCCACGAGCUGUCAAUCUAGACCAGCAGGAUAUCCAUUUGCGUGAAGAAUCCCAAUGGUGAUAGACAUCUCCAGAGUCAAAUUAAGGCGGGGAAAGUUUGCUGGGUAUUGGAGCAGGUUUCCGAAGACAGGUCAAAUCGAAGGGAAGGAAAAUCGUUGGCCUCCGGCUAAUAAUUUAAUUGGUCCUUUGCCAUAUCAACGAGGUUGAUCUGGAUCACCUAGUGCUGAAGUCACUGGAAACCCACUAUUUGGAUUCAAUCCCUAGAUGGGAAUGUUGAUGAUCCGAUAGGUUAAACGGCUCAAGUAUUAUCCGUUGGUGAAACUUAGCACCUUUUGCACGAAAAAAAGGUGAGGACCGCUAAUUUUCCUAAUAGAUUAAAUACCCAGGGUGGGAACAUUGUCAUUGAGGAUCGAGUCCCACAGACUUUGCUAAGUGAGGGCCUCACCUUGUACGCCAUUGUUUCACAAACAAAAGACGUUCCUAGCUAGUCAUGGCGGCACUCUUUGAACGCCCCUUGGCCAAUCGUUGGCUGCGUUUAGAGCAACCUGGUAUAAAAGAAACCUGUGCUCGUCGAUGAUUAAGAUUUUCUGCGUGUGCAAGUAAUGCCCAUGGGUUUGUACCACAUUAAGAUCGUCUCAUCAAGCUUCUCCGAGGUGAUUUGAUGCUGUAUAAAAUUGCAAAUCCUUGGUUCAUCAUUGCUCAUUCACUUCGUUAUUGUAAUUGAAUGAUUUACGCAUAUAUUAAUAUCUCUAUAAAUGGUUAAUUUAUAGGCAAUUAACUUAUUGACUGUGAAGAACCGAUGACAUUGAUAGAAAUAACGAAAAUAGAAUGGAUGAAUAGAUAAUUUCACAAACACAUUGACCCGAGAGUUAUAAACUUCUCUAGCCCAUUGAAGAACUUUUUAUGAAUCAUCAUCGAGAAACCAUUUCAGUGUUUUUCAUCAACGUCCACCUCUCAUUUUUCUUGUCCCCACUUUGGUCCCAGUGAGGGAAAAAAAAAGGUAAUGGAAAGCCGCGUAGAGAUGCCGCAGGGGCUUAUACAGAGGAUCAUGAUUAAUCAAUUAGCAAUCUCGGAGAGCCCUUAAAAAUUGACGGGGACGAUGGUAAAAAAAAACCGGAUCCAAAGGAGCCGACGUGACGCUGCGGGUUUCUUCCUCACGAUUGCGUGUAAUCUACCGAUAUGAUAGAGCACAAUGAUGAACCGUCGUCAAUGGACAAUUGAUGUUAGCUCAGGAGUCUCCACAAAUAUCACGGAUUUUAUAGUGAAUGAUUUAUUUAAGGGGAAUUGCUGUGAUGCACUCGAAUUAAUUCCUCCUCGAGGACCGGAAACUUACAAAUUAACGAGUUAAAAUCGGCUUCAACGAUCGGAUGGAUGAACAUGUUUAGUGUGAACAAGAAUUUCCACCUGAUGAACGACUACGUGCUGCAUCACAGCUACUGAGGAAAAAAAGUUGAAAGAGAGUAAAAAAAGAAACUGAGCGGAACUGGUUGUGGAGAGGGGAGAGAGACCCAAAAGUUAUCUGGCCGAACAGUGUGAAAUCAUCCGCUUCCGAAUUUCCUGAGUGAGAUCUCUCCAUCUCUCUUUCUCUCUCGAGGGUGCCGAUGCAUCGGAGCAGAAAUAAAUGACGUUUGCAAGGUGUUCGCAUCAAUAAUAUUACAUCUUGGUUUGGCUCCUUCGAGUCCACUUCCCCUCGUCAUCUUUAUCCUCAGCCGCAACGAAACUUUAAAAAUGGGUUUUUUCCUCAAUUCCUCUCCAGCUCCGAGGCCUUUACGGAUUUUUAAUUUUUAAUGGGCGCAAUGCACACACUGAUGAAUUUUUCCAAUGGGAAAAUAUCGAAGGAAAGCAAGUGUUCGUCUGAUCUACAUUGAACAUAAUAGAGUUGACGGCACGUCCAAUGACUUAUUACAUAUACCUUGAACUCGAUCGUAAAAGUUUAAUCGAUAUAUUUUUUUUCUCCCCUCAAAAUCGACGCUUGAUUACACGAAAAUUGUGGUGGUCCACUUAGCCAUCACUGUCACAUUCUCUGUGGCGGUUCAGGAUUUUUAAAAUCCGUCCCUGAACUGCUGCCUAAUAGUGAUUCUCGGCUUUCAGCAUCGAGCCGGGGUACUCAAUUCUUUUUGUUCUACUGGGUUUCUUUUCACCUUUUUUUUCCUCUCGUUUCAAUCCUUCACUCGUCCGUCCUCGUCGAUGAAUGCGAGGGAGAGACGCACGGCAAUAUGAACCUGUUAAGACUGAACGUGGAAUCAUCAGUUAUAGGUGAAGAGGUGUUGGAGUGAUCUAUAUUCGAUUUCUUCUGGGCAUUUUUGAAUGAUUGAGGGGAAUUAGGUUUGUCAUUCCAUUCGGGCUUGUUUUCUACUUGCUCGCAUGCUUCAUUCCAGCAUGUGGUAGUUUUUUGUUUAAGGAGACAACAGUUUAAUGAAAAUUGAAGAUUACUUAUCGUAUUUUUUAAUGGGAAUUGCGAAUAAAGAACAGGAAACCUUUAGGGAAUUGAGAGGCUCAUUAUUCAAUAAAAUACAAAAUCAUUACAUGAUUUCAGCCGAAAAAUUACUCAAACUUUUACAAUUUUCAUUAACUUGUACUCAUUUUUUCCCCUCGGUGCAGUGAAUAAAAAUAUUAUCAACAAAAAAUCUAUUUCACGUGUUGGAAUUCAAAGGAUUUUCCUUCUUUAUCAGUGUCACCCACAGAGCAGUAUAAUUUCUCUAAAAUUCUCACUGAUUGGCAUGGAUCGAUUGGUCACGGACAAUGGGGUCUUCCACUUGAUGUUUGCGGCUGGAAGGGAUUGUCGAGGUCCCGAGCAAAGGAGAGUGUCGGCAAAAGGAUAAAAACAGUAAUGAGCAAAACGCCGGUAUCGUUACCGUUUUCUGUUGCUCUUCUUGUUGCGUUUUGCCCCCAGAGUUUGCUUCGGGGAAGUAAAAGAGUUAACGCUCCCGGAUAUCAUCCCAAAGGGUUUCCGUCGCUUUCUGGAGAACACGACUGCCCAUAACCAUUUUAUAUUCGACCUCCUCAGGACAAGAAUUCGCCACAUUAUUUUCAAAAAUGAUUGAUGAAAUAUUACCGUGAAAGAGAAGGCAUGGGAAAAGGGAUAAAGGGAGGUGAAGGAGUGAGGCCAAACCGGUGUCCAAUUAAUAGUGUUGCAGUUAGUCAAGGAGGGCCCUCUACUU